GAGUUGAUGCGAGUGAGAAUGCAGGCAUGAGUAGCGUGUGACGGGUGGGAAUCCCGUCCGCCGAUUAUCCAAGGGUUCCAGGGUCAAGUUUGUCUGCCCUGGGUGAGUCGGGUCCUAAGGCGAGGCCGACAGGCGUAGUCGAUGGGUAACCAGUUGAUAUUCUGGUACCGGCUUGUCACCGUCCGUGUCGAGGUGUGUGAUGCUAAGCAUGUGAGCUUGUCUUGGGAGUGUUUUUGAUGCUUCUGGGGUGGGUGAGUGUGUGAACCGAUCAUGUAGUAGGCAAGCUGCGGAGGGACGCAGUGAGGUAGCUCAUCCCCGGUGAUGGUUGUCCGGGGCUAAGUGUG
RNAcentral lists this ribosomal RNA (344 nucleotides) under Xanthomonas citri pv. citri. RNAcentral describes it as "partial 23S ribosomal RNA". It matches the Rfam family "Bacterial large subunit ribosomal RNA", at positions 1276 to 1616 of the family's 2925-position model. Lineage: Bacteria; Pseudomonadati; Pseudomonadota; Gammaproteobacteria; Lysobacterales; Lysobacteraceae. The record is from RNAcentral.